CAGUCAGGCUCCUGGCUAAAGUCCAGUUCUUAGCUGGAUUUAGCCAAACACCAGA
Molecule: microRNA precursor, 55 nt
Filed under: Mesocricetus auratus (golden hamster)
Lineage: Eukaryota; Metazoa; Chordata; Mammalia; Rodentia; Cricetidae
Description: miRNA (ENSMAUG00000005084.1)
Source: RNAcentral